GACGAACGCUGGUGGCGUGCUUAACACAUGCAAGUCGAACGGUAAGGCCCUUCGGGGUACACGAGUGGCGAACGGGUGAGUAACACGUGGGUGAUCUGCCCUGCACUUCGGAAUAAGCCUGGGAAACUGGGUCUAAUACUGGAUCGGACCACUGCCCGCCUGGUUGGCGGUGGAAAGCUUUUGCGGUGUGGGAUGGGCCCGCGGCCUAUCAGCUUGUUGGUGGGGUGAUGGCCUACCAAGGCGACGACGGGUAGCCGGCCUGAGAGGGUGACCGGCCACACUGGGACUGAGAUACGGCCCAGACUCCUACGGGAGGCAGCAGUGGGGAAUAUUGCACAAUGGGCGCAAGCCUGAUGCAGCGACGCCGCGUGACGGAUGACGGCCUUCGGGUUGUAAACCUCUUUCAGCACCGACGAAGCGCAAGUGACGGUAGGUGCAGAAGAAGGACCGGCCAACUACGUGCCAGCCGCCGCAGUAA
Molecule: ribosomal RNA, 478 nt
Filed under: uncultured bacterium
Lineage: Bacteria
Description: partial 16S ribosomal RNA
Rfam family: Bacterial small subunit ribosomal RNA
Source: RNAcentral